This is a long non-coding RNA of Zingiber officinale, 809 nucleotides long. RefSeq lists it as uncharacterized. The record is from RefSeq and is a predicted model, not a curated record. NCBI's taxonomy places the organism in Eukaryota, Viridiplantae, Streptophyta, Magnoliopsida, Zingiberales, Zingiberaceae. The transcript is spliced from 4 exons.
ACGCCGUUUCUUGAAUCGAGCCCUCUUCCUCCUCUUUCCCGAUCUCCCCUCCCUUCUCUCUGUUCUCUCUUGCGGACAGCCGACGCCGACAGGAUUAGGGCUCCAGCUCCAGCGAUCGUUGGUGUCACUUGAGGAGGAAGCUUCUGGAUUGAGCUCAGAUUCGACCGACGCCUUUCAUCUCCGGGCUGCAAACAUUCGCGUCUUCUUGCGCCGAUCACUGAGGCCAUUGAAUCGAGCGAGAUCCACUCAGUCGCCGAUGUGGAAGAGCAAUUAGGGCUUCAAGGGUAAGCAAUUCGAACCUUAUCCCUUCUAUUUCUCCGAUCUGUGCCCUAGCAUUGCCUGUGAUUCCCCGAUCUCUUCUCUGGCUGAUGGCGAGGUGCACAAGGUCACCCUAGCAGCGAUCUUGGAGGUCACGGAUUGGAGGCAUUGAAGAUCAGUGAGUUUGUUCUUGAGCUGUCGGGCAGAGUCUAGGUUUGUAAUUGAUCAGUGAUGAUCUUCCGAUUGGGUGAUUUCUUCUGGAGACAACCUUUUGAGAUCAGCUUCUUUGCUGUGUUUGAGGUAUCGGUUGAAGUGGGAAAGAAUUCCAACAAGUGUUGUAUUCUAUGAUCGAAAAUUGAGUGUUGUGGAUCAACAAGCGUGGCUGUGAAGUUUUGUUUUGUGCUGUGGUGUUCUUUGAUCCUUUCUUGGUUCCGGCAGCACACCAACCAACAGCCUCCUAGUUCCAACAUCAACAAUAGCUGGGAUUGAGGACUCUGAUUCGAGACGGGCGUCUGGACCUUGGAUUGCUUGAUUGUACCUUCUUUUUGAGG